UGGGGAAUAUUGCACAAUGGGCGAAAGCCUGAUGCAGCAACGCCGCGUGAGUGAUGAAGGUCUUCGGAUUGUAAAGCUCUGUCUUUUGGGACGAUAAUGACGGUACCAAAGGAGGAAGCCACGGCUAACUACGUGCCAGCAGCCGCGGUAAUACGUAGGUGGCGAGCGUUGUCCGGAUUUACUGGGCGUAAAGGGUGCGUAGGCGGAUGUUUAAGUGAGAUGUGAAAUACCCGGGCUUAACUUGGGUGCUGCAUUUCAAACUGGAUAUCUAGAGUGCAGGAGAGGAGAAUGGAAUUCCUAGUGUAGCGGUGAAAUGCGUAGAGAUUAGGAAGAACACCAGUGGCGAAGGCGAUUCUCUGGACUGUAACUGACGCUGAGGCACGAAAGCGUGGGUAGCAAACAGGAUUAGAUACCCUGGUAGUCCACGCCGUAAACGAUGAGUACUAGGUGUAGGAGGUAUCGACCCCUUCUGUGCCGCAGUAAACACAUUAAGUACUCCGCCUGGGAAAGUACGAUCGCAAGAUU
This 525-nucleotide ribosomal RNA is filed under the name uncultured bacterium. Its description in RNAcentral is "partial 16S ribosomal RNA". It matches the Rfam family "Bacterial small subunit ribosomal RNA", at positions 355 to 895 of the family's 1533-position model. The record is from RNAcentral.